Molecule: ribosomal RNA, 483 nt
Filed under: uncultured bacterium
Lineage: Bacteria
Description: bacterial SSU rRNA
Rfam family: Bacterial small subunit ribosomal RNA
Source: RNAcentral
GACGAACGCUGGCGGCGUGCUUAACACAUGCAAGUCGAGCGGUAAGGCUCCUUCGGGAGUACACGAGCGGCGAACGGGUGAGUAACACGUGAGCAAUCUGCCCUUCUCAUCGGAAUAACCAUUGGAAACGAUGGCUAAUGCCGAAUAUGACUUCCUACCUCAUGGCAGGAAGUGGAAAGCUCCGGCGGAGAAGGAUGAGCUCGCGGCCUAUCAGCUUGUUGGCGGGGUAACGGCCCACCAAGGCGACGACGGGUAGCCGGCCUGAGAGGGUGACCGGCCACACUGGGACUGAGACACGGCCCAGACUCCUACGGGAGGCAGCAGUGGGGAAUAUUGGACAAUGGGCGAAAGCCUGAUCCAGCAACGCCGCGUGAGGGAUGACGGCCUUCGGGUUGUAAACCUCUUUCAGCAGGGACGAAGCGAAAGUGACGGUACCUGCAGAAGAAGGACCGGCCAACUACGUGCCAGCCGCCGCGGUAAGAC